AUACGGAGGGUGCGAGCGUUGUUCGGAAUUAUUGGGCGUAAAGAGCAUGUAGGCGGUCUGUUAAGUCUGGUGUGAAAGCCCGGGGCUCAACCCCGGAAGUGCAUUGGAUACUGGCAGACUUGAGUAUGGGAGAGGAAAGCGGAAUUCCGAGUGUAGGAGUGAAAUCCGUAGAUAUUCGGAGGAACACCAGUGUCGAAGGCGGCUUUCUGGACCAAUACUGACGCUGAGAUGCGAAAGCGUGGGGAGCAAACAGGAUUAGAAACCCUAGUAGUCC
RNAcentral lists this ribosomal RNA (274 nucleotides) under uncultured bacterium. RNAcentral's name for it is "partial 16S ribosomal RNA". It matches the Rfam family "Bacterial small subunit ribosomal RNA", at positions 523 to 796 of the family's 1533-position model. The record is from RNAcentral.